AUUGAACGCUGGCGGCAGGCCUAACACAUGCAAGUCGAGCGGAUGAAGGGAGCUUGCUCCUGGAUUCAGCGGCGGACGGGUGAGUAAUGCCUAGGAAUCUGCCUGGUAGUGGGGGAUAACGUCCGGAAACGGGCGCUAAUACCGCAUACGUCCUGAGGGAGAAAGUGGGGGAUCUUCGGACCUCACGCUAUCAGAUGAGCCUAGGUCGGAUUAGCUAGUUGGUGGGGUAAAGGCCUACCAAGGCGACGAUCCGUAACUGGUCUGAGAGGAUGAUCAGUCACCCUGGAACUGAGACACGCUCCAGCCCCCUACUGUAGGCACCCAUGGCGAAUGUUGGCCACUGGGCCAAAGCCUGGUCCAUCCUUGCCGCGUGUGUGAAGAAGGUCUUCUGAUUGUAAAGCACUUUAAGGUGCGAGGAAGGGCAGUAAGUUAAUACCUUGCUGUUUUGACGUUACCAACAGAAUAAGCACCGGCUAACUUCGUG
RNAcentral lists this ribosomal RNA (484 nucleotides) under uncultured bacterium. RNAcentral's name for it is "partial 16S ribosomal RNA". It matches the Rfam family "Bacterial small subunit ribosomal RNA", at positions 30 to 507 of the family's 1533-position model. The record is from RNAcentral.